Molecule: ribosomal RNA, 81 nt
Filed under: Hypoxylon polyporus
Lineage: Eukaryota; Fungi; Ascomycota; Sordariomycetes; Xylariales; Hypoxylaceae
Description: partial 28S ribosomal RNA
Source: RNAcentral
GGCGGAGCUAGGGCACACUCUAAGCGUAGUAAGCUAUUCUCGCUUCUGUGGUGUACCUGGCUUCCUGCCGUAAAACCCCUA